Melanotaenia boesemani (Boeseman's rainbowfish) is the source of this 532-nucleotide long non-coding RNA. RefSeq lists it as uncharacterized. The record is from RefSeq and is a predicted model, not a curated record. NCBI's taxonomy places the organism in Eukaryota, Metazoa, Chordata, Actinopteri, Atheriniformes, Melanotaeniidae. The transcript is spliced from 2 exons.
AGAAGUAAAACCUCCAUCAGAACCAGGACCAGAAAGGAAAACCUCCUCAGAACCAGGACCAGGAAGGAAAACCUCCGUCAGAACCAGGACCGGAAGUAAUACCUCCGUCAGAACCAGGAACAGAAGUAAAACCUAAGUCCGAACCAGGACCAGGAAGGAAAACCUCCAUCAGAACCAGGAAGGAAAACCUCCGUCAGAACCAGAACCAUGAGUAAAACCUUAGUCAGAACCAGGACCAGGAAGGAAAACCUCCGUCAGAACCAGGAACAGAAGUAAAACCUACGUCCGAACCAGGACCAGGAAGGAAAACCUCCAUCAGAACCAGGAAGGAAAACCUCCGUCAGAACCAGAACCAUGAGUAAAACCUUAGUCAGAACCAGGACCAGGAAGGAAAACCUCCGUCAGAACCAGGAACAGAAGUAAAACCUACGUCCGAACCAGGACCAGGAAGGAAAACCUCCAUCAGAACCAGGAAGGAAAACCUCCGUCAGAACCAGAACCAUGAGUAAAACCUUAGUCAGAACCAGGACCG